UGCAUGUGAUGAAAAGUGGGUAUAAGCAUGA
RNAcentral lists this non-coding RNA (31 nucleotides) under Homo sapiens (human). Lineage: Eukaryota; Metazoa; Chordata; Mammalia; Primates; Hominidae. The record is from RNAcentral.